GUCUACAGCCAUGCCACCCUGAACAAGCCUGAUCCCAUCUGAUCUCGGAAGCUAAGCAGGGUCGGGCCUGGUUAGUACUUGGAUGGGAGACCACCUAGGAAGACCAGGUGCUGUAGGUA
Molecule: ribosomal RNA, 119 nt
Filed under: Pteropus alecto (black flying fox)
Lineage: Eukaryota; Metazoa; Chordata; Mammalia; Chiroptera; Pteropodidae
Source: RNAcentral